This is a non-coding RNA of Phrynosoma platyrhinos (Desert horned lizard), 72 nucleotides long. NCBI's taxonomy places the organism in Eukaryota, Metazoa, Chordata, Lepidosauria, Squamata, Phrynosomatidae. The record is from the annotation of a GenBank genome assembly.
GCCAAUGUGGUACAGUGGUUUGCAUGUUAGACUAUGAUUCUGGAGACCAGAGUUUGAAUCCCAGCUCAGUCA